AACGUAGGUGGCAAGCGUUAUCCGGAAUUACUGGGCGUAAAGGGUGUGCAGGCGGGGGAACAAGUGGUGUAUGAAAUCUCCCAGCUUAACUGGGAUAGGUCAUGCCAGACUGUUCUUCUAGAGGACGAGAGAGGGGGGUGGAAUUCCGGGUGUAGUGGUGAAAUGCGUAGAGAUCCGGAGGAACCCCAGAGGCGAAGGCGGCCCCCUGGCUCGUACCUGACGCUCAGCCACGAAAGCAUGGGGAGCGAACGGG
RNAcentral lists this ribosomal RNA (253 nucleotides) under uncultured bacterium. Its description in RNAcentral is "partial 16S ribosomal RNA". It matches the Rfam family "Bacterial small subunit ribosomal RNA", at positions 524 to 776 of the family's 1533-position model. The record is from RNAcentral.